This 492-nucleotide ribosomal RNA is filed under the name uncultured bacterium. RNAcentral describes it as "partial 16S ribosomal RNA". It matches the Rfam family "Bacterial small subunit ribosomal RNA", at positions 29 to 507 of the family's 1533-position model. The record is from RNAcentral.
AGUGAACGCUGGCGGUAGGCCUAACACAUGCAAGUCGAACGGCAGCACAGUAAGAGCUUGCUCUUACGGGUGGCGAGUGGCGGACGGGUGAGGAAUACAUCGGAAUCUACUUUUUCGUGGGGGAUAACGUAGGGAAACUUACGCUAAUACCGCAUACGACCUACGGGUGAAAGCAGGGGAUCUUCGGACCUUGCGCGAUUGAAUGAGCCGAUGUCGGAUUAGCUAGUUGGCGGGGUAAAGGCCCACCAAGGCGACGAUCCGUAGCUGGUCUGAGAGGAUGAUCAGCCACACUAGAACUGAGACACGGUCCAGACUCCUACGGGAGGCAGCAGUGGGGAAUAUUGGACAAUGGGCGCAAGCCUGAUCCAGCCAUACCGCGUGGGUGAAGAAGGCCUGCGGGUGGUAAAGCCCUUUUGUUGGGAGAGAAAAGCAGCAGGUUAAUACCCCGCUGUUCUGACGGUACCCAAAGAAUAAGCACCGGCUAACUUCGUG